RNAcentral lists this ribosomal RNA (229 nucleotides) under uncultured microorganism. Its description in RNAcentral is "partial 16S ribosomal RNA". It matches the Rfam family "Bacterial small subunit ribosomal RNA", at positions 9 to 236 of the family's 1533-position model. The record is from RNAcentral.
GAGUUUGAUCUUGGCUCAGAUUGAACGCUGGCGGCAGGCUUAACACAUGCAAGUCGAGCGGGGAGAUUGCUUCGGUAAUUGACCUAGCGGCGGACGGGUGAGUAAUACUUAGGAAUCUGCCUAUUAAUGGGGACGAACAUCUCGAAAGGGAUGCUAAUACCGCAUACGCCCUACGGGGAAAGGACAGGGGAGUCACUUGUGACCUUGCGUUAAUUAGAUGAGCCUAAGU